GUUAUCAAGAGUGGACGAGAGAAUCGGCUCAAUGACUCCACAGCAACCUGUUAAAAUAGCAAGGUGCUAAUACCGACAAAGCAAAGAGCUUUGGCUGAUGA
This 101-nucleotide non-coding RNA is filed under the name human gut metagenome. Its description in RNAcentral is "SAM riboswitch (S box leader)". It matches the Rfam family "SAM riboswitch aptamer (S box leader)". From Rfam's summary of the family: The SAM riboswitch is found upstream of a number of genes which code for proteins involved in methionine or cysteine biosynthesis in Gram-positive bacteria. The record is from RNAcentral.